RNAcentral lists this ribosomal RNA (253 nucleotides) under uncultured bacterium. RNAcentral's name for it is "partial 16S ribosomal RNA". It matches the Rfam family "Bacterial small subunit ribosomal RNA", at positions 524 to 776 of the family's 1533-position model. The record is from RNAcentral.
UACAGGGGGUGCAAACGUUGCUCGGAAUUAUUGGGCGUAAAGCGCGCGUAGGCGGCUACCUAAGUCGGAUGUGAAAGCCCCUGGCUUAACUGGGGAAGUGCACCCGAAACUGGGUAGCUAGAGUGCAAAAGAGGGUCGCGGAAUUCCCGGUGUAGAGGUGAAAUUCGUAGAUAUCGGGAGGAACACCGGUGGCGAAGGCGGCGACCUGGGCCAAUACUGACGCUGAGGUGCGAAAGCGUGGGGAGCAAACAGG